GGCCCAGCCACAGCGCAUCGGCAUCGGCGUCGCCGGUCAAAAUCCCCAACUUCAUCGCCGCUUUGCCGCCGGCAGGUCACGUCUUCCCCCUCGGCGUCGACGGGCCAACCACCGCGAGGCGAAGGAUGGCGCGGGUCGAUCCAGAUCCGGAGCAGAAGCGGGCGCGCGGCUGCGGCGUACGACUACGAGGCGACGCGCCGUAGGCGGAGUACUGCUCCGAUGUCCUCGUCCCGCCGAGUUGAGCGAGGAUUUGGAGAUAAGCGACAAGAUCAUGGAGCGCAGCAUCAGUGUCAUCAUUCCUCAUUAGAACCUCAGCGACCUCUGCUGGUGUCACUGUCACCUCCUUGAUCAGUUUCUCAAUCUCUGGAUAUGUGUCAUGGUAGUCGAUGGAGUGGUAGUUGUUGGCAAGGAUUCGGAAAGACUCUUGGGUGCAAUACCCCAUGUGGAUGUGCAUGUCCAUCCUUCCAGGCCGCAAUAGUGCUGAGUCGAGCCGCUCCUUGUAAUUGGUUGUGAAGACAAUGAUCCUUUCUUCCCCACUUGUUGACCACAGGCCAUCAACAAAGUUAAGCAGGCCAGACAGUGUUACCUGUUCAGAAUAUCCAAAUUCUCAUCAGGACAUGUGAGGAAGCGUUGGAAUCAAAAUGAGAUGAGAUAUGUGCCCAAUCGAUGGUGCAGUCAAUAUCUUCAACAACGAGAAUGGACCGGUUGCUCAUGCCAACAAGAAGCCUCCUAAGGUCUGAGUUGGAAUUGACCUCAGUUAGCUCGAGAUCAUAUAUGUCAAACCUGAGAUGGUUGGCCAUGGCUGCAAUCAGGCUGGACUUGCCGGUCCCAGGUGGACCAUACAGCAGGUACCCCCGCUUCCAUGCCUUGCCGAUCUUCUUAUAGUAAUCCUUUCUCUUGAUGAACCUGUUAAGGUCAUCGAUGAUGGACUGCUUCAGCUUCUGGUCCAUGGCAAGUGUCUCAAAUGUAGAUGGGUGGUGGAGGUCAAUUGGGGACCACUCGCUCGAGUACUCAGUCAUGUAUAUCCUGAGAGUUCUCUCUUGAGCUUUUAUGUCCUUGGCUGUGGCCAAAAUGAACGGGAAGUAUGAUUUGAGGGCUUUCUCCUUGUGAUUCUUGUGGAAGCUAACCUCGAAGGACACCUCAUUCGGACUGCCACUGCCGUUGCUGGAGUCACUUGAGUUGUCUUGGCAGAUGAGGCACCAUUUGAAUUCCGUGCCUUCAUAAACAUCUAGCAUCUCCUCUCCCUCCGCCAUGCUGAUCAUCAUCUUGUCAUUCUCGUCCAUGCUGCUGACCCGCAGACGCUGCUGCAGAUCGGUGUUGAUGCGUGUUGCGAGGUAGCCGAAGCCGGAGAUGAGCAUCUGGCGCACCUCGUACGGCACCACCUCAUUCACCACGCUGCGCACCAGCAUCAGAGAUGCCGCGACAGAUGCUGCGGUGGUGAGGGCCUUCUUGUAGGACUCGAAGGCCUUGUCGUAGGACGCCAUGAGUGCUGUGCGCCGCAAGUUUCCUCCUGCAACUGGAAGUGGAAGAAGGAAGCUUCUGCCGGCAACGCCACGCCGUCCCAGGGUCAUCGCUCCCGGCCGUUUAUCCCCACUUGCACCCAUGGACGGCACGCGGUGACCGAAACGAGGUCAUGUGCUGGAUCGUGUCCCGUGGCGAGGAAGACUCGUCGAGGUGCGAUCAGCAGACCAGACCGCCGGAUCAGAUCUGAGCAGGGGCGGCAGAUCGGAAGCAGCCUACGACGAGAUGCAGGCUGGAAAGCGGCCAGAUCAGAUGUUUGUCCGUGUCUUGCUCCCGAGUCCCGUGCCAAGCCUUGUGCAGUAGAUUGGCUUAGACCGCGAAGUCUAGUUUUCAAAAGGCGAAAUAGCAAGUAUCAAAUAGUCCAUCUAAGUCCUUCAACUUUUCAUAUUGGAUCAAAAUGAUCCUUAGGCUGAUGUGGCAUGCCAUAUAUUAAUGUCAUGUCAGUUUUUAGUUGUCCUUGGAUGAGUAAAUAUGUUUAUUAUGUCUCAUUUAACCCUUGUUACAUCCAAUUAUAAACAAUACUUUUAAGUGGAUUUGAUAGUAAUACAAGAAACCUAUGUUAAUGACUCA
Molecule: long non-coding RNA, 2091 nt
Organism: Panicum virgatum (switchgrass)
Lineage: Eukaryota; Viridiplantae; Streptophyta; Magnoliopsida; Poales; Poaceae
Exons: 5
Source: RefSeq, a predicted model, not a curated record